UACAGAGGGGGCAAGCGUUGUUCGGAAUUACUGGGCGUAAAGGGCGCGUAGGCGGCCUUCUAAGUCGAACGUGAAAUCCCCGGGCUCAACCCGGGAACUGCGUCCGAUACUGGAAGGCUUGAAUCCGGGAGAGGGAUGUGGAAUUCCAGGUGUAGCGGUGGAAUGCGUAGAGAUCCGGAAGAACACCGGUGGCGAAGGCGGUCUGCUGGGCAGUUGCUGACACUGAGGCGCGACAGCGUGGGGAGCAAACAGG
RNAcentral lists this ribosomal RNA (253 nucleotides) under uncultured bacterium. RNAcentral's name for it is "partial 16S ribosomal RNA". It matches the Rfam family "Bacterial small subunit ribosomal RNA", at positions 524 to 776 of the family's 1533-position model. The record is from RNAcentral.